This 253-nucleotide ribosomal RNA is filed under the name uncultured bacterium. RNAcentral describes it as "partial 16S ribosomal RNA". It matches the Rfam family "Bacterial small subunit ribosomal RNA", at positions 524 to 776 of the family's 1533-position model. The record is from RNAcentral.
UACGGAGGGUGCAAGCGUUAUCCGGAAUCAUUGGGUUUAAAGGGUCCGCAGGCGGUCUUGUAAGUCAGUGGUGAAAGCCUACAGCUCAACUGUAGAACUGCCAUUGAUACUGUAAGACUUGAAUUCGAUCGAAGUGGGCGGAAUAUGACAUGUAGCGGUGAAAUGCUUAGAUAUGUCAUAGAACACCGAUAGCGAAGGCAGCUCACUAGGUCUGGAUUGACGCUCAGGGACGAAAGCGUGGGGAGCAAACAGG